UAUAGGGUCCCCCCAUGGAUAGAGGUCCGUGUUAGGGUGCUCCAUAUCGGGCAUGAAUAUCAGGAACACCGGCAGGUGCACUUAGGACCAUGUUUUAAUUUUUCAGAUUCCCAGGUGCACAGGGAUCCUAAUCCGCAUCCACCGAAAUCUCACAAAGUGUCCAUAAAUCACUCAGGGAGGGCCCCCAUGGAUACAGGGCCGUAGUAGGAUGCUCCUAUAGUGGGCAUUAAUAUGAGAAUGACCGAAAAGUGCAUUUAGGACCAUAUUAUAAUUUUCGGGUUCCCAGGUGCACGUUUCCAAUAACCAGGUGCACACGGAUGUAUAGGGUCCCCCCAUGGAUAGAGGUCCGUGUUGGGGUGCUCCAUAUCGGGCAUGAAUAUCAGGAACACCGGCAGGUGCACUUAGGACCAUGUUUUAAUUUUUCAGAUUCCCAGGUGCACAGGGAUCCUAAUCCGCAUCCAUCGAAAUCUCACAAAGUGUCCAUAAAUCACUCAGGGAGGGCCCCCAUGGAUACAGGGCCGUAGUAGGAUGCUCCUAUAGUGGGCAUUAAUAUGAGAAUGACCGAAAAGUGCAUUUAGGACCAUAUUAUAAUUUUCGGGUUCCCAGGUGCACGUUUCCAAUAACCAGGUGCACACGGAUGUAUAGGGUCCCCCCAUGGAUAGAGGUCCGUGUUAGGGUGCUCCAUAUCGGGCAUGAAUAUCAGGAACACCGGCAGGUGCACUUAGGACCAUGUUUUAAUUUUUCAGAUUCCCAGGUGCACAGAGAUCCUAAUCCGCAUCCAUCGAAAUCUCACAAAGUGUCCAUAAAUCACUCAGGGAGGGCCCCCAUGGAUACAGGGCCGUAGUAGGAUGCUCCUAUAGUGGGCAUUAAUAUGAGAAUGACCGAAAAGUGCAUUUAGGACCAUAUUAUAAUUUUCGGGUUCCCAGGUGCACGUUUCCAAUAACCAGGUGCACGGAUGUAUAGGGUCCCCCCAUGGAUAGAGGUCCGUGUUAGGGUGCUCCAUAUCGGGCAUGAAUAUCAGGAACACCGGCAGGUGCACUUAGGACCAUGUUUUAAUUUUUCAGAUUCCCAGGUGCACAGGGAUCCUAAUCCGCAUCCACCGAAAUCUCACAAAGUGUCCAUAAAUCACUCAGGGAGGGCCCCCAUGGAUACAGGGCCGUAGUAGGAUGCUCCUAUAGUGGGCAUUAAUAUGAGAAUGACCGAAAAGUGCAUUUAGGACCAUAUUAUAAUUUUCGGGUUCCCAGGUGCACGUUUCCAAUAACCAGGUGCACACGGAUGUAUAGGGUCCCCCCAUGGAUAGAGGUCCGUGUUGGGGUGCUCCAUAUCGGGCAUGAAUAUCAGGAACACCGGCAGGUGCACUUAGGACCAUGUUUUAAUUUUUCAGAUUCCCAGGUGCACAGGGAUCCUAAUCCGCAUCCAUCGAAAUCUCACAAAGUGUCCAU
Long non-coding RNA from Oncorhynchus keta (chum salmon), 1442 nucleotides. RefSeq lists it as uncharacterized. The record is from RefSeq and is a predicted model, not a curated record. The transcript has 3 exons. Lineage: Eukaryota; Metazoa; Chordata; Actinopteri; Salmoniformes; Salmonidae.